GCCGUGAUAGCACAGUUGGUAGUGCAACGCACUCGUAACGCGUAGGUCGCAGGUUCGAGCCCUGUUCCCGGCACCA
Molecule: transfer RNA, 76 nt
Filed under: Clostridium sp. CAG:307
Lineage: Bacteria; Bacillati; Bacillota; Clostridia; Eubacteriales; Clostridiaceae
Also listed under: 2 other names
Description: transfer RNA-Thr(CGT)
Rfam family: tRNA
About the family: Transfer RNA (tRNA) molecules are approximately 80 nucleotides in length. Their secondary structure includes four short double-helical elements and three loops (D, anti-codon, and T loops). Further hydrogen bonds mediate the characteristic L-shaped molecular structure. tRNAs have two regions of fundamental functional importance: the anti-codon, which is responsible for specific mRNA codon recognition, and the 3' end, to which the tRNAs corresponding amino acid is attached (by aminoacyl-tRNA synthetases). tRNAs cope with the degeneracy of the genetic code in two manners: having more than one tRNA (with a specific anti-codon) for a particular amino acid; and 'wobble' base-pairing, i.e. permitting non-standard base-pairing at the 3rd anti-codon position.
Source: RNAcentral